AUUGCUUCUCGGCCUUUUGGCUAAGAUCAAGUGUAGUUUUAAUUAUGUUUUCAAUUUCACUGAUUGAAAUUGGGGUGUUUAGAGUUUUGAUACCUUCUUUGUUCAACUUUGGCAAUUUAUAUGUAUCUAGAAAUCUGUCC
Molecule: small nuclear RNA, 140 nt
Organism: Heterocephalus glaber (naked mole-rat)
Lineage: Eukaryota; Metazoa; Chordata; Mammalia; Rodentia; Bathyergidae
Gene: U2
Rfam family: U2 spliceosomal RNA
About the family: U2 is a small nuclear RNA (snRNA) component of the spliceosome (involved in pre-mRNA splicing). Complementary binding between U2 snRNA (in an area lying towards the 5' end but 3' to hairpin I) and the branchpoint sequence (BPS) of the intron results the bulging out of an unpaired adenosine, on the BPS, which initiates a nucleophilic attack at the intronic 5' splice site, thus starting the first of two transesterification reactions that mediate splicing.
Source: Ensembl